Non-coding RNA from Pelobates cultripes (western spadefoot toad), 207 nucleotides. NCBI's taxonomy places the organism in Eukaryota, Metazoa, Chordata, Amphibia, Anura, Pelobatidae. The record is from the annotation of a GenBank genome assembly.
CCUCGCUCUUUCGUCCCUAACUUCAAUAGUUUGAAAUCCAUCUUUAAUCGGGCUGCUUUGCGGCGUUCUGUGCACCUGUCUGCCUUGCGUUUCCCAACUUACAUAUUGCCCUUUGCACCCAUUCCCUCACAUCGUGAGCUUCUAGAGGUGAGUCUUGUGUGGGGUCAGGUCCGCAAAGUAUAGAAUUUUUUCCCGGGCUGAUCAUAU